GACGAACGCUGGCGGCGUGCUUAACACAUGCAAGUCGAACGGAAAGGCCCUGCUUUUGUAGGGUGCUCGAGUGGCGAACGGGUGAGUAACACGUGAGUAACCUGCCCUUGACUUUGGGAUAACUUCAGGAAACUGGGGCUAAUACCGGAUAGGAGCUCCUGCUGCAUGGUGGGGGUUGGAAAGUUUCGGCGGUUGGGGAUGGACUCGCGGCUUAUCAGCUUGUUGGUGGGGUAGUGGCUUACCAAGGCUUUGACGGGUAGCCGGCCUGAGAGGGUGGCCGGCCACAUUGGGACUGAGAUACGGCCCAGACUCCUACGGGAGGCAGCAGUGGGGAAUAUUGCACAAUGGGCGGAAGCCUGAUGCAGCAACGCCGCGUGCGGGAUGACGGCCUUCGGGUUGUAAACCGCUUUCGCCUGUGACGAAGCGUGAGUGACGGUAAUGGGUAAAGAAGCACCGGCUAACUACGUG
RNAcentral lists this ribosomal RNA (468 nucleotides) under uncultured bacterium. RNAcentral's name for it is "partial 16S ribosomal RNA". It matches the Rfam family "Bacterial small subunit ribosomal RNA", at positions 28 to 507 of the family's 1533-position model. The record is from RNAcentral.